Molecule: long non-coding RNA, 3122 nt
Filed under: Homo sapiens (human)
Lineage: Eukaryota; Metazoa; Chordata; Mammalia; Primates; Hominidae
Description: HSALNT0318417
Source: RNAcentral
UUCACUGGAUCUUGUUGUUUGGGCACCUGAGACAAGCUGGCAGUCACUAAAUCUCAGCGAUCACUCAAUGUGUGCCAGGCAUUCGCACACAAUAUCACUAACACCCAUGACAGUCCUUCAAGAGAGGUUCUGCUGUCUGAGAGAUUAUGUGACACGCCUAAGGUCACAGGAUCAGCAAAUACUAGGGCUGAGAUUUAAACCCAGAACUGUCUACUGCCAAAGCUUUUGCGCUCUCCCUCGUGCCACGUUGCUUCUCAUUUUGGGCUUGGUCUCCACUUCCCAGUCCUUGAAGGAGUUCUCCAGGUCUGCCCCAUUAGCACUGCAUCUCAGAAGGAAGCUGCAGCUGCGCCGCCAAUCUCCCGGUGGUAGGUGCUUAAUAAACAUUAUGAAGUGCAUGAACAAAUGAAUAGCCCCUGAUGGACAGACAUGCUUGAGAAACACUAUUUUUCACAUUCCUAUCUACACUCAAGAUUUUACCUAUGAUAGCAGGCUGAAGAUUCCCAGGAUCUUACAUCCUAGCAGAACAGACAGAAAAUCUGUGUAUGUUGUAUAAGCCCUGCAGUGUGUGGUACUUUGCUUCAACAGCCAAAGCAAAUGAAUACAGCCUCCAUGGUAGGCAAUGGGACAAGGAUUCAGCAUUCAGGAUCCUACCUGUGUCUUCUUCAGGAGCCCUAACAGUUCAGCUGAGCUGAAAGGAUGAGGAGGAAGCCCUUGGCGAUGGAACUUCUAGACAAGCCAAGGCCUGCCUGGCAGAGCUGGGAGCAGAUUGAGGAAGACACCACUGCCCCUCCACCCACCCCGCCGCCGCCUUCAUGUUGCCUUGAUCUUCUAUCCUCAGCUGACAUUUUUGUCGCUCAUCUCUGAUUGAAGAAACCUCAGUUUCUUAUUUGAUCUUUCCUGGACAACCGUUUAAUAGGCAGCAAGAAAAAGAGAUGAGAGAAAGUGAUUUUUCAUCCCUGACUUGACAUGAUAUUUUCCUUUUAACAAUUUAUCCAUACCUCUCCUCUCAGUUUCUCUCCUUUCAUAUACUCACAUACUAUCUGCCUCUCUGCAUAGCAAAGCAACCUUUUGAGCAGUUCUCUAAGAAGAUUCUAAAAAGCAAGGAAAAAGCAGGAUCACAAUAGCUCCUUCCCCAGUUCAAUUCAGCAAGCUUUUCUGAGCACCAGUCCAGAUGCAAGGCACAAUGAGAGGCAAGAUGAAGAAUGGGGGUUACUCUAUCCUCAUCGGACCAAUUUAGAAUCCAGUACAUGCACAUACAGGAAAAAUCCAAUGUGUUCAUCAUCUGUGUGUUCCAUAAUCAUUUACUGAGCACCUUUUAUCAAAAAGAGAAACCAUUUUUAAAGUAAACUGGAUUCUCUAUUAUAACAACAGUGAAGUUUGGCAAAAUGUUUUCCUCAUGUGAAGGCUUGAAUUUAAAGAAUUUUAAUUUAUGUUCAUUAUGAUUCAAUCCAACAUUUGUCUUUUUGUAUGUAUUAGAUCUUGCGAGGGACACAAAGAUAAUCAAGUUGUGGAUCUAGGUCUUAAGACGUAUAAAAUUGAGUGGGUCUAUGUCUUCCAAUACACAAAGUCAAGUGGAGAGACAUAAAUAACACUAACUUCAGUGCAAUGUAUACUAAAGGAUACGGAAUGACUUAUUCAGCAGCUACUAUGUGCCUGGUGCUUUACCCAUAUGAUUAAUAAAGCAUCUUUUGGUGAUAUUUACUGUUCAUGUAAUCUAUGGUCUAAGCCUGGUGACAUGGUCUUGAGAGGGAUACAAACAUGUAAUUACAAUGUAACAGGAAGUAGUGACAGGGAAAAUAAGAGAGAAUAGCCGGGACAUCUAAUCUGAUUUGGCAAAUCAAAGAAGGCUUCCAGGAAGAAGUGACUUCUGAGCUGAGUCCUGAAGAAUGAGUCAUCCAAAUAAAUCAGAGGAGGAGAUUGUUUUUGGCAGCAAAAAUAACAUGCACAAAGUCCCAAAGGCAGCGGGGAGACUUAUGUUCCUCAUCCAAUAAGAGAGGAAGCUGAGGUUCCAAUGAGUUAUUUAACUUACCAAAGAUCACACAGCUGGUGAUUGACCGAAGUUGGAUUUGGAUCUGGCGUGAGUAUCUUCCACCUAUAAAUGUUAAUAACAGAGGAAGAGAGAUAGAUUUUGAUUGAUGACAAUAGGGAAGCCUUUGUUAAAUUGGGUUUUGAAGAACGAAGUAAAAAUGGAAAGGGAAGAAUUGACAGAAACCAAGAGAGUGUUGAGGGGCAGCAAAUCCCAGUUUGACUGGAAUAUAGAGUGAUGUCAGGGUUGGAAGGAGGUGCUUUGAAAAAUUAAGUUGGAAAGAUGGAAAUGUUUUAGAUGGAAAGACCCAUCAAUCAAGUAAAAGAUACUUCAUUCCCACCGCAGGAUUAAGUCAAUAAGGCACUGGACACUUUAAGUGUCAGAGGAAAAGAGAAGACAAAAUACUGAACACUGCAGUAUAGCGACAGAGGAGCCCUGUAAUGACAGGCACUCCUCUGACCUGAGGUGAAUGAACACAGAAUCUUCAAUGUGUCCAAGGGAAGGGGACCCAGAGCUACUGGUAGACUAUCACUCCCAGAAUGCCUUUCAGUGAUCCACUUUCUUAGCCCACACUUCCUUCUAUUCUUCUUCCUUUUUUUUCUUUGUUCCUUCUUUCCUCCCUUACUAUCAAAAUCAUAUUUGAAUCUAUUGUUUCUUGGGAUAGAUAUGUCUGCUUGAAUAACAAAGAGGCUUUAUAACAAAGUCACCAAGAGAACAAAUUGCUUCAAAACCAGGUUUGAUGGACUAUCUUAAUGUAUGUUGGACUUCUCAUGAUUGUGUCUGGCUACCAAGCAAAUAAUAGUAAAAAAAUUAAAACUCAUUCCUCCCAAUUCAUGUUUUAAGAGCAAAUUAAUAAUGAAAGAUCUCUUUACAUCACAAAAAAGAAAGGAUUUUUUAUUUACUGUUGUUUGUUGUUUAAGUCCAGCAAAACUGAAGUUCAUGUGAAAGAAUAGGUGCAAAUGGUCCAAAAUCUCCUAAAGGAAGGCAAGGGCCUGAGAGGUCAAUGGCUGAGCAGCACUUGCUAGCAAUUACCAAUCAAUCCUCUUCAGGGCAGGAUAAUGGAAACCUACAUGGUAUAGCCUUUACAACCAGCAGA